RNAcentral lists this ribosomal RNA (440 nucleotides) under uncultured bacterium. RNAcentral's name for it is "partial 16S ribosomal RNA". It matches the Rfam family "Bacterial small subunit ribosomal RNA", at positions 338 to 795 of the family's 1533-position model. The record is from RNAcentral.
CCUACGGGAGGCAGCAGUGGGGAAUAUUGCACAAUGGGGGAAACCCUGAUGCAGCGACGCCGCGUGAGUGAAGAAGUAUUUCGGUAUGUAAAGCUCUAUCAGCAGGGAAGAAAAUGACGGUACCUGAUUAAGAAGCCCCGGCUAACUACGUGCCAGCAGCCGCGGUAAUACGUAGGGGGCAAGCGUUAUCCGGAUUUACUGGGUGUAAAGGGGGCGUAGACGGCAGCACAAGUCUGGAGGGAAAUGCCGGGGCUUAACCCCGGAACUGCUUUGGAAACUGUGCAGCUAGAGUGCAGGAGAGGUAAGUGGAAUUCCUGGUGUAGCGGUGAAAUGCGUAGAUAUUAGGAGGAACACCAGUGGCGAAGGCGGCUUACUGGACUGUAACUGACGUUGAGGCUCGAAAGCGUGGGGAGCAAACAGGAUUAGAUACCCCUGUAGUC